GGGGACGUUACGGAUUCGACAGGGGUAGUUUGAGCUCAAGCUGCGUGUCGAGGUUACGGCUCGUAAAACGUUACCCGCCAAUAAUAACUGGCAAACAAAACAAUUUCUCUUUAGCAGCUGCCUAAGCAAUUGCUAAAGGAUCCCGCUUAGCAUCACCCAUGUGCUAAGAUUUGGGGUCUCAACUGAAGUGGGAUACGCUAACCUCCACCGUCUGAGGACGGUUAGAAGAGUCUAAUCAGACUAGCAACAUGGACGCCUGUUGAUUGGCAUAUGUGCUUGCGAAUCCAAAAUAGAUCAACUACACAUGUAGACGCUUGAGUGGCGAUAUCUCUGGACGUGGGUUCGACUCCCACCGUCUCCACCA
This 364-nucleotide transfer-messenger RNA is filed under the name Halolactibacillus halophilus. RNAcentral describes it as "Standard tmRNA". It matches the Rfam family "transfer-messenger RNA". Rfam says of the family: Bacterial tmRNA, also known as 10Sa RNA or SsrA, is named for its dual tRNA and mRNA-like properties. The record is from RNAcentral. Lineage: Bacteria; Bacillati; Bacillota; Bacilli; Caryophanales; Bacillaceae.